UUCACUCUUUUCAGCCUCACUGGAUAACUUCAUAGUGGACUCAGAAGUCUGCAACAAGUGGCCCCAACGUGGGGCAAUUGGGAGCCUGAAAGAGUGGCUUUCCCUGGUGAGGAGCCCUUGACCCAGGUGGGCUGCCUGGCCAGCAGCUGUGAUGAGGAGCGCUCCACCCGCCUGAAACAAGAUGGGAAAUGGAGUCACUGAAAACUUUGAGAAAUGUGCCUGGAUACCGGAGAAAAAUGUCAGAGCGUGUGUAACAACUCACAGCUCGAAUGCAGAGUAUGAGAAUUCAGGGGAAGCGCAGAAGGAGCCAAACGAGUCGCCUUCCUACAUAGAGGUCAAGUGAAAGCUCCCUCUCGUCAAGUGAUAAAAGACUCCUGAACUUGUAUUUUUAGCAAUGGUAGCUUUACUUUCUGCUCAAGUUUGUAAUGUACAGAAUGGUCAGCACUGGACUUCUUUUUCCUUUUCCACCCUGGUUGCAACCUAUCACAGAUAUGGACAAAUUGGGACUAUAUAUAUACUAAUAACACCUGUAUAUUCAGAAGACAAGAAGAUCCCUAUCUCUAGGACAAAGUCGAUGUUAUGAUUACCCUCAGAUCUCUAGCAUCCAGGACACUUACAUGUUUUUCAGAAUUUAGCAACAAUAUUGAAUCAUGUCUUUUCUUUCUUACAUCAUUUGUUAAUACCUAUUUGUCUAAUGGAUAUGUAAAUUUUAUUCAAUCUAAUACUAUUUUUGAAUUGGAAUGUUAUUUGUGUCAGUUGUACUCUCAAACAAUGUAUUGAUCAUAAUGACUAUGUUGUACUUUUGGUAAAACAAUAAUCAUUUAUUAUUUUCCCUACUAAUAUUUCACAUGAACAGUUCCAGAACUCUGGAAAACGUGCUCCUAAAAUUAGUAUUUCCUCCUUAAGUCAAUCGAAACAAUUUAUUGGUCUCCUUAUUAUUGGUUCAAUCAUUGUUGCUUCUUUUAUUGUAUCUACUACUAUUUUAUCUAUUGUGCUUCAAUUUAAAUUUUAAACUGCAUAAAUUGUAUAUUACUUACCAGUGUUUAAUACUUAAAGCUUAAGAAGCAACUGAGUUAUUGCAUAAAGUCAAUUUAUUAGAGCAAUCAGCAUUGUAAGUUAGAUCUCUUGAAAAGAAGAUUGCUAUUGCAAUGUGAUUAUAGAAUAUUUACAUUACCCUGCUCCCUAUGAUGCUUCAUGAGACAAGAGACUUACCCACCUAUUGAGGGCAUGGCACAAUUCUAAUAUUACCCUCAAUGUUAAUACCCUUCAUGAUAUUACUGCCAAUUUUGAACUGCUCAGUAUGCUAACAAUUGGUCUACGAUUUUACAAUAUUAAAUUUAUAGAGAUACUAUGGUGCAACAAGAAUUGGAUCUUUUAGAACAAUCAGUAAUUGCAUUAGGUAAACAUAACAACAAUUAGAAAUGCACUUCAAUUUGAAAUGUGAUUAUUGCUAUUCGCUUAUCUGUGUAACUCCAUAUGUGUAUUCAAACUUUACUAAUGUAACUAUCGAACAAGUAUUAAAUAAGCUCCAAGGUGCAUGGCACUCUGUCAAUAUCACCUGGGACAUUAAUCAGCUAUCCAAAAUACGACAUGAAAUUGCUGAUUCUCGUAUUGAUGGUAUUGAUCCUAAAGAUAUUGCAAACAAAUUGUUAGAUUGGAUUGAUCAACUUAAUCCUCUUAAGAAUGUAUUAAGUUUGCUGUUACAUUUUUUACCUUGGCUAUGUUUUGUAUUAAUUUUGUGUUUCCUCCUUCCCUGCUUGUUAAAAUACACUCGCCAUACUUUAGGUGAGAUUUUUUCAUCCCUUCAUCUUCUCAGGUUUAACAGUCAGAGGGGGGAGGUUGUUGAGGGCUUGCACUGAUGGGUUUGAGGAUAUAGGUCAUGUCGGGAUGUUCGUGUUCCUGUCCAUUAUCUAAGAGCCGUCUCGGUCAGAACGUAGGCUCUGACCUCUUCCAGGUGCUGUCUGACCCUUGAGAGGACGAAGGAUUUGUCAAUAAACCUUGAAAGAUAAUCGGGAAGUGAAGAGAUGAUUCCGGGGGGUUACUGCCCCCAGUGACUGUUACCAUGAGAAGAAUUACUUGUUGAUACUUGGUUUUUUCCAUUCUUGAUUCUGUUCCCACGAAUGGGGUGUAAAACCCCUAACUCUGAGAUCAAUAAACGGAGCUUGUUUAUACUUGCUA
Phascolarctos cinereus (koala) is the source of this 2178-nucleotide non-coding RNA. The record is from RefSeq and is a predicted model, not a curated record. NCBI's taxonomy places the organism in Eukaryota, Metazoa, Chordata, Mammalia, Diprotodontia, Phascolarctidae.